This 352-nucleotide ribosomal RNA is filed under the name uncultured bacterium. Its description in RNAcentral is "partial 16S ribosomal RNA". It matches the Rfam family "Bacterial small subunit ribosomal RNA", at positions 338 to 706 of the family's 1533-position model. The record is from RNAcentral.
CCUACGGGUGGCAGCAGUGGGGGAUAUUGCACAAUGGGGGGAACCCUGAUGCAGCGACGCCGCGUGGGUGAAGGAGCGUUUCGGCGCGUAAAGCCCUGUCGGCAGGGAAGAAGGAUGACGGUACCUGACUAAGAAGCCCCGGCUAACUACGUGCCAGCAGCCGCGGUAAUCCGUAGGGGGCAAGCGUUAACCGGAUUUACUGGGUGUACAGGGGGCGCAGACGGCGGCGCAAGCCAGGAGUGAAAGCCCGGGGCCCAACCCCGGGACUGCGCUUGGAACUGCGCGGCGGGAGUGCAGGAGGGGCAGGCGGAAUUCGUGGUGUAGCGGGGAAAUGCGUAGGAAUCGGGAGGAA